UGGGGAAUAUUGGACAAUGGGCGCAAGCCUGAUCCAGCCAUGCCGCGUGAGUGAUGAAGGCCUUAGGGUUGUAAAGCUCUUUCACCGGAGAAGAUAAUGACGGUAUCCGGAGAAGAAGCCCCGGCUAACUUCGUGCCAGCAGCCGCGGUAAUACGAAGGGGGCUAGCGUUGUUCGGAAUUACUGGGCGUAAAGCGCACGUAGGCGGAUCGAUCAGUCAGGGGUGAAAUCCCAGAGCUCAACUCUGGAACUGCCUUUGAUACUGUCGAUCUAGAGUAUGGAAGAGGUGAGUGGAAUUCCGAGGGUAGAGGUGAAAAUCGUAGAUAUUCGGAGGAAAACCCGUGGCGAAAGCGGAUCACUGGGGCAUUACUGACGCUGAGGUGCGAAAGCGUGGGGAGCAAACAGG
This 404-nucleotide ribosomal RNA is filed under the name bacterium. RNAcentral's name for it is "partial 16S ribosomal RNA". It matches the Rfam family "Bacterial small subunit ribosomal RNA", at positions 355 to 776 of the family's 1533-position model. The record is from RNAcentral.